GAUGAACGCUGGCGGCGUGCUUAACACAUGCAAGUCGAACGAGAAGUGAAGACGGACUCCUUCGGGCGGAAGGCUUUAUUUCGAGUGGCGGACGGGUGAGUAACGCGUGGGUAACCUGCCUCAUACAGGGGGAUAACAGUUUGAAACGACUGUUAAUACCGCAUAAGACCACAGCACCGCAUGGUGCGGGGGUAAAAACUCCGGUGGUAUGAGAUGGACCCGCGUUGGAUUAGCCAGUUGGCGGGGUAACGGCCCACCAAAGCGACGAUCGAUAGCCGAUCUGAGAGGAUGACCGGCCACAUUGGGACUGAGACACGGCCCAAACUCCUACGGGAGGCAGCAGUGGGGAAUAUUGCACAAUGGGGGAAACCCUGAUGCAGCGACGCCGCGUGAGUGAAGAAGUAUUUCGGUAUGUAAAGCUCUAUCAGCAGGGAAGAAAAUGACGGUACCUGAGGAAGAAGCCCCGGCUAACUACGUG
RNAcentral lists this ribosomal RNA (478 nucleotides) under uncultured bacterium. Its description in RNAcentral is "partial 16S ribosomal RNA". It matches the Rfam family "Bacterial small subunit ribosomal RNA", at positions 28 to 507 of the family's 1533-position model. The record is from RNAcentral.